AGCUCCAGUAGCGUAUAUUAAAGUUGUUGCAGUUAAAAAGCUCGUAGUUGAACUUCGGGCCGGGUGGGUCGGUCCGCCUUGCGGUGAGUACUGAUCCCACCUGGCCUUUCUUUCUGGUGAGGCAGCGUACUUCGGUGCGUUGUUGAACCAGGACUUUUACUUUGAAAAAAUUAGAGUGUUCAAAGCAGGCAUUUGCCCGAAUACAUUAGCAUGGAAUAAUAGAAUAAGACGUUUCUCUUAUUUUAUUGGCUAUAAGAGAUCGUAAUGAUUAAUAGGGACAGUUGGGGUCGUUCGUAUUCGAUUGUCAGAGGUGAAAUUCUUAGAUUUAUCGAAGACCAACUACUGCGAAAGCAUUCGACAAGGAUGUUUUCA
RNAcentral lists this ribosomal RNA (372 nucleotides) under uncultured eukaryote. RNAcentral describes it as "partial small subunit ribosomal RNA". It matches the Rfam family "Eukaryotic small subunit ribosomal RNA", at positions 587 to 972 of the family's 1831-position model. The record is from RNAcentral.